Molecule: non-coding RNA, 341 nt
Organism: Pelodiscus sinensis (Chinese soft-shelled turtle)
Lineage: Eukaryota; Metazoa; Chordata; Testudines; Trionychidae
Source: RefSeq, a predicted model, not a curated record
CAGCAAGCUCCUGUCAAUGGCCUGAACCUCCGUCUCCAAGUCCGACGCCAUCUUCCUCCCCCCUCCAGCGGCACCACCAAGUGCAUAAGGCACAUAAGAUGAAAGGCCUCUCUCAGAAGGAAGGGAAAGAAAAGAAAACUACAUGACAUAGUGAGAUGUCCCUCCUGUGAUAAGCAUGAAGUUAUAAAACCUUUGUGGUUUGGUCUUGUGAAAGAAAUCGAGGAAGGGGAGAGGAUGCCACCACAAAAUCUGGGACACCAAAACACUCCAAAUUUCAUGGUGUCUGUGAUGGGGGAUCCAGCCCCCGCACUCCGGGUCAUUCGCCAGCGGCUGCCCGGCAC